CUUGCUCCUUGGGUGGCGAGUGGCGGACGGGUGAGGAAUACAUCGGAAUCUGCCUAUUUGUGGGGGAUAACGUAGGGAAACUUACGCUAAUACCGCAUACGACCUACGGGUGAAAGCGGAGGACCUUCGGGCUUCGCGCAGAUAGAUGAGCCGAUGUCGGAUUAGCUAGUUGGCGGGGUAAAGGCCCACCAAGGCGACGAUCCGUAGCUGGUCUGAGAGGAUGAUCAGCCACACUGGAACUGAGACACGGUCCAGACUCCUACGGGAGGCAGCAGUGGGGAAUAUUGGACAAUGGGCGCAAGCCUGAUCCAGCCAUGCCGCGUGGGUGAAGAAGGCCUUCGGGUUGUAAAGCCCUUUUGUUGGGAAAGAAAAGCAGCCGGUUAAUACCCGGUUGUUCUGACGGUACCCAAAGAAUAAGCACCGGCUAACUUCGUGCCAGCAGCCGCGGUAAUACGAAGGGUGCAAGCGUUACUCGGAAUUACUGGGCGUAAAGCGUGCGUAGGUGGUUUGUUAAGUCUGAUGUGAAAGCCCUGGGCUCAACCUGGGAAUUGCAUUGGAUACUGGCAGGCUAGAGUGCGGUAGAGGGUAGUGGAAUUCCCGGUGUAGCAGUGAAAUGCGUAGAGAUCGGGAGGAACAUCCGUGGCGAAGGCGACUACCUGGACCAGCACUGACACUGAGGCACG
RNAcentral lists this ribosomal RNA (683 nucleotides) under Xanthomonas sp. Air90. Its description in RNAcentral is "bacterial SSU rRNA". It matches the Rfam family "Bacterial small subunit ribosomal RNA", at positions 75 to 755 of the family's 1533-position model. Lineage: Bacteria; Pseudomonadati; Pseudomonadota; Gammaproteobacteria; Lysobacterales; Lysobacteraceae. The record is from RNAcentral.